Molecule: non-coding RNA, 287 nt
Organism: Pelobates cultripes (western spadefoot toad)
Lineage: Eukaryota; Metazoa; Chordata; Amphibia; Anura; Pelobatidae
Source: the annotation of a GenBank genome assembly
GAACAAUAUAUUAUAACACUGUGGUAAACAAAAGCUUUAGUUUGGCUGACAAUCUACAUGUAAAUGUUCCAUUAUUGAAGGAUGUGAUUUUGCAAUAUUGGAAUGCAAUUCAAUAACAAGCGUAGAGAACCUCUACAUCUCCCCGUUUAGCUGACAGAGCAUCAUGGGAGAUGUAGUCCACAGUAUCUCAGCUCACAGAGGUUAUAUAUACCUGCUCACAGCCACUCACCUUGUUAAUUAGCUGAAUAGCACUGUUUAAAUGUAUGAUUUACCAAAGGAUGUGAAGA